RNAcentral lists this ribosomal RNA (253 nucleotides) under uncultured microorganism. RNAcentral's name for it is "partial 16S ribosomal RNA". It matches the Rfam family "Bacterial small subunit ribosomal RNA", at positions 524 to 776 of the family's 1533-position model. The record is from RNAcentral.
UACGGAGGAUGCGAGCGUUAUCCGGAUUUACUGGGUUUAAAGGGUGCGCAGGCGGUUGUUUAAGUCAGGGGUGAAAGCCCUAUGCUCAACAUAGGGAUUGCCUUUGAUACUGAACGGCUAGAGUGAAGAUGGAGUGGGUGGAAUGUGUUGUGUAGCGGUGAAAUGCAUAGAUAUCGGGAGGAACACCGAUGGCGAAGGCAGCCCCCUGGGCCUGUACUGACGCUCAUGCGCGAAAGCUGGGGGAGCGAACCGG